AUUGAACGCUGGCGGCAGGCUUAACACAUGCAAGUCGAGCGAGCGGCGGACGGGUGAGUAAUGUCUGGGAAAAUGCCUGAUGGAGGGGGAUAACUACUGGAAACGGUAGCUAAUACCGCAUACAAUCAGAUGUGCCCAGAUGGGAUUAGCGAGGGGGUGAGGUAAUGGCUCACCAAGGCGACGAUCUCUAGCUGGUCUGAGAGGAUGAUCAGCCACACUGGGACGGAGACACGGCCCAGACUCCUACGGGAGGCAGCAGUGGGGAAUAUUGCACAAUGGGCGCAAGCCUGAUACAGCCAUGCCGCGUGUAGGAAGAAGUCCCUCGGGUUGUAAAGUACUUUCAGUCGGGAGGCGUUACCGACAGAAGAAGCACCGGCUAACUCCGUGCCAGCAGCCGCGGUAAUAC
Molecule: ribosomal RNA, 406 nt
Filed under: uncultured bacterium
Lineage: Bacteria
Description: partial 16S ribosomal RNA
Rfam family: Bacterial small subunit ribosomal RNA
Source: RNAcentral